RNAcentral lists this ribosomal RNA (333 nucleotides) under Bacteroidales bacterium. RNAcentral describes it as "bacterial SSU rRNA". It matches the Rfam family "Bacterial small subunit ribosomal RNA", at positions 1 to 326 of the family's 1533-position model. The record is from RNAcentral. Lineage: Bacteria; Pseudomonadati; Bacteroidota; Bacteroidia; Bacteroidales.
ACAAUGAAGAGUUUGAUCCUGGCUCAGGAUGAACGCUAGCGGCAGGCUUAACACAUGCAAGUCGAGGGGCAGCGAGAUUGUUAGCAAUAACGAUUGUCGGCGACCGGCGCAAGGGUGCGUAACGCGUGAGCAACUUGCCCGUUUCAGGGGGAUAACCGGUGGAAACGCCGACUAAUACCCCAUGGUGAUAUCUUAAGGCAUCUUAAGAUAUCUAAAGAGUUUCGGAAACGGAUAGGCUCGCGUGACAUUAGCUGGACGGCGGGGUAACGGCCCACCGUGGCGACGAUGUCUAGGGGUUCUGAGAGGAAGGUCCCCCACACUGGAACUGAGACA